Molecule: transfer RNA, 83 nt
Rfam family: tRNA
About the family: Transfer RNA (tRNA) molecules are approximately 80 nucleotides in length. Their secondary structure includes four short double-helical elements and three loops (D, anti-codon, and T loops). Further hydrogen bonds mediate the characteristic L-shaped molecular structure. tRNAs have two regions of fundamental functional importance: the anti-codon, which is responsible for specific mRNA codon recognition, and the 3' end, to which the tRNAs corresponding amino acid is attached (by aminoacyl-tRNA synthetases). tRNAs cope with the degeneracy of the genetic code in two manners: having more than one tRNA (with a specific anti-codon) for a particular amino acid; and 'wobble' base-pairing, i.e. permitting non-standard base-pairing at the 3rd anti-codon position.
GCCCGGGUGGCGGAAUCGGUAGACGCGCGGGUCUCAAAAACCCGUUCCCUCUGGGAGUGCCGGUUCGAUCCCGGCUCCGGGUA